RNAcentral lists this ribosomal RNA (406 nucleotides) under uncultured bacterium. RNAcentral describes it as "partial 16S ribosomal RNA". It matches the Rfam family "Bacterial small subunit ribosomal RNA", at positions 29 to 526 of the family's 1533-position model. The record is from RNAcentral.
AUUGCACGCUGGCGGCAGGCCUAACACAUGCAAGUCGAACGAGUGGCGGACGGGGGAGUAAUGUCCGGUAAACUGCCCGAUGGAGGGGGAUAACUACUGGAAACGGUAGCGCAUACCGCAUACCAUCGGAUGUGCACAGAGGGGAGUAGAUUGUAGGGCAGGUAACGACUCACCUAGGCGACGAUCCCUAGCUGGUCUGAGAGGAGGACCAGACACACUGGAACUGAGACAGGGUCGAGACUCCUACGGGAGGCAGGAGUGGGGAAUAUGGCACAGUGGACGAAAGCCUGAUGUAGACAUGAAGCGGGUAUGAAGAAGGUCUGCGGGUUGUAAAGGACUUUCAGCGGGGAGGCGUUACCCGAAGAAGAAGCAACGGCUAACGCCGUGCCAGCAGCCGCGGUAAUAC